Molecule: long non-coding RNA, 1176 nt
Organism: Pezoporus flaviventris
Lineage: Eukaryota; Metazoa; Chordata; Aves; Psittaciformes; Psittacidae
Exons: 3
Source: RefSeq, a predicted model, not a curated record
GUAUGUGUGCAUAGGUAGGUAUGUAUAUACAUGUAUUUACGUAUUUGAUCUAUUGAGGCCAUGCUACCUUCCUGAUCCUUUUUGGUAGCUGGUGUUUCGGGGAUGAUUGCCUGGCCACAUGUAGACAUGUGUGGUGGUGGAAAGAGGGGCGCCUGUCCCUGGAAAAGAAAGCUAUUGCAGGUCAGGGCUCAGAGACAUAAGGAGAGGUAUGCGAGGAAGCUUGGCUGGUGACUGCCUGUUCCAUAGCUAGCUUUUUCCAACGCCCUGGGUCCAUUUAUUUUGUCAGUACUUAAAACCUCUUUGGAAUAUUUAUAAUUUUUUAUUGGGUGUUUCCAAGAGACGCACAUAAUAUAAGUGGUCCAACAGUAAAUCUGUUAUGAUGUGUUUAUAAAUGCAAGCUUUAGUGUCUCUGGAAAGUUUAGCAUUGACCAAUGCAAAUUUAGUAUUGAAUGAUGCAAAUUUACGCAGGGAUAGAAAUGUGAACCAGAAGAACUAGGUCAUUAAGGGAGAGUUUCUGGUUUUAGCUGAAAUAGAAGAAUAUUGACUGACAUCCUUAAAAAUGGAUGACACUUUUUUCAUUGACUUAUCAACACUCUGGUUUAUCUUUCGUUUAAGCUCUGCCUCGGUGAGGCACUGGGAAGUGUUCCUGUUGCAGCAGCAGAGCUAUAUACAGCUAUCCAAAUUAAUUAGUACUGUUAAUCAACAAGAUGUGUUCACCCAGGCUGAACAGUACAUUGGUGGGAUUUUUGACUUAGCUGUUUAGCUUCCUUGGUACAGUUCUAUGUCAUGUAGACAUGCUUGGAUUGACCUACAUGAUAUACCUUGUAACUGGUACUGGUUUUCCCCAGAGUGUUGAAUGACCAUCAGUGAUUCCCAGGUAGAACUCAUUACCCUGGCCCUGAAGUAGGGCAAGAUGUGGAGCAGCUCUCUAUCAACAACUGCCUCUGGUUAACUCUGAUAGCCUAACAGAGCUUGUCAUCACUUACACUCCAGUCACUCAGAAGAUACAAAUCCUGCGGAAGAGAGGCAGUAACUACUAUUUUACAUAAAAUAGAAUCAAAGUCCUGCUUUUGAGGAAUGAGCAGAAAUAAAAUCCUGUGAAGCACUAUAGCAACCAUCACCAGGGAUACCAUCACAGAUCUCAAACAUGUUUAUCCAGACGAAUAACAAGUCACG